AAAGUCGUAACAAGGUUUCCGUAGGUGAACCUGCGGAAGGAUCAUUACCUAGAGUUUGUAGACUUCGGUCUGCUACCUCUUACCCAUGUCUUUUGAGUACCUUCGUUUCCUCGGUGGGUUCGCCCGCCGAUUGGACAACACUUAAACCCUUUGUAAUUGAAAUCAGCGUCUGAAAAAACUUAAUAGUUACAACUUUCAACAACGGAUCUCUUGGUUCUG
This 219-nucleotide unclassified non-coding RNA is filed under the name Ascomycota sp. RNAcentral describes it as "partial contains small subunit ribosomal RNA, internal transcribed spacer 1, and 5.8S ribosomal RNA". The stretch from base 1 to 47 matches the Rfam family "Eukaryotic small subunit ribosomal RNA", at positions 1785 to 1831 of the family's 1831-position model. Lineage: Eukaryota; Fungi; Ascomycota. The record is from RNAcentral.